CCAUCAAUAACAAAUUAAAUGUACAUCUCAGAACUGCCCAAACUCCAAAGAUACCAAACCAAAGUUGGGUAGAACCCAGCAACUGCAACUCCUACCCCAGCACAAAAUUCAUGCCCAUCCAGCAACUGCAACUUCUUGCUAUCAUCU
Juglans microcarpa x Juglans regia is the source of this 147-nucleotide long non-coding RNA. RefSeq lists it as uncharacterized. NCBI's taxonomy places the organism in Eukaryota, Viridiplantae, Streptophyta, Magnoliopsida, Fagales, Juglandaceae. The record is from RefSeq and is a predicted model, not a curated record. The transcript is spliced from 3 exons.